GCUUUUGUAAUUUUGAACAUACCCUAGUAGUUUCUAUUAAUCGAUCGUUCAGACUUCAAUUAUUUGUAGGCUGCAAUAUUUUCACAUUUUUCUCU
Mycetomoellerius zeteki is the source of this 95-nucleotide long non-coding RNA. RefSeq lists it as uncharacterized. The record is from RefSeq and is a predicted model, not a curated record. NCBI's taxonomy places the organism in Eukaryota, Metazoa, Arthropoda, Insecta, Hymenoptera, Formicidae. The transcript has 3 exons.